UGUGCUCUGCAGUGUGAGGUAGUUGGUUGUAUGGUUUCGCAUAAUAAACAGCACGGAGAUAACUGUACAACCUUCUAGCUUUCCCUGCGGAGUCAC
Scophthalmus maximus (turbot) is the source of this 96-nucleotide microRNA precursor. The record is from Ensembl. Lineage: Eukaryota; Metazoa; Chordata; Actinopteri; Pleuronectiformes; Scophthalmidae.